GACCUCCUGGGAUGUGCGUUGUUCUAUUGUUUUUAACCCACAGAAUGUAUACGGGAUUCCGAGUUUGCAGGUGGAUAACAUGCCCCCAAUGCUGAGGGGAAGUUAGAAGCCGGCAACAGGUUUCCCACCUGCCGAGGGGCGGGUAUUAAAAUCAUAGAAGGACGGCAUCUUGGGGCUCA
RNAcentral lists this non-coding RNA (179 nucleotides) under Clostridiales bacterium. RNAcentral's name for it is "6S RNA". It matches the Rfam family "6S / SsrS RNA". Rfam says of the family: E. coli 6S RNA was the first non coding RNA to be sequenced, but its function was unknown until recently. The record is from RNAcentral. Lineage: Bacteria; Bacillati; Bacillota; Clostridia; Eubacteriales.